Orbicella faveolata is the source of this 604-nucleotide long non-coding RNA. The record is from RefSeq and is a predicted model, not a curated record. NCBI's taxonomy places the organism in Eukaryota, Metazoa, Cnidaria, Anthozoa, Scleractinia, Merulinidae.
UGAUUCCUGUACAUUUUAUAGGUCGUGACUUCACCAGUCAUAACAAUCUUGAUGUAACAACACAAGUGGAUCUGCUGAUCAAACAAGCCACCUCACAUGAGAAUCUUUGCCAGUGCUACAUUGGAUGGUGUCCAUUCUGGUAAUGAGACCUUCCGUUAUUGAAAGGCACUUCAUGAAGAGGAUUUUGCCCUCGAUACGCUGUGAAACUCGGCAAGGUUUAACUGGAGGACGUGAGGACCUUUUCACGAGAAACCCUUGCAAGGCUGACAUUGCGAGAAUUUAAACUGAGAAUUGCUUAUUUGCCAGCGCGCUCAAUGACUCUGGUCUUCCAGAGUUAUGUCGCAAAUCGAGAUCUGUUUCUUUUUUGAUUCAAAGGUCGAGCUAAACUUGUGCUUAGCCAAUGUAUCAGAAGGGGUAUAUGUGGGUAUUACAGCGAUCUGAGGGUUUCGCUUAGGAUAGUGAACUGAAGGUCUAAGUGUGGCAAAAACAGAAAAUGGAUUUCAACAUUCAACAGUUGAAUCAACUGUCGUCAUCAAAGUUGAUCAUAUGUAAAUUUGAUAAUAUAUAUGUAUAAAAAAUCAAUAAACGUAUGUAAAAGUAGUAA